UAGGGCUUUUUACUUUGCAUCUCCACC
RNAcentral lists this non-coding RNA (27 nucleotides) under Mus musculus (house mouse). The record is from RNAcentral. Lineage: Eukaryota; Metazoa; Chordata; Mammalia; Rodentia; Muridae.